RNAcentral lists this transfer RNA (73 nucleotides) under Stegodyphus mimosarum. It matches the Rfam family "tRNA". From Rfam's summary of the family: Transfer RNA (tRNA) molecules are approximately 80 nucleotides in length. Their secondary structure includes four short double-helical elements and three loops (D, anti-codon, and T loops). Lineage: Eukaryota; Metazoa; Arthropoda; Arachnida; Araneae; Eresidae. The record is from Rfam by way of RNAcentral.
GCUUUCGUGGUGUAAUGGUCAGCACACUCGGAGUGUAUUCUACAGAUCUGAGGUUCGAGUCCCGGCGAGGGCA